CCCUUAGAUGUUCUGGGCCGCACGCGCGCUACACUGAUGCAUUCAACGAGCCUAUCCUUGACCGACAGGUCCGGGUAAUCUUUGAAUCUGCAUCGUGACGGGGAUAGAUUAUUGCAAUUAUUAAUCUUCAACGAGGAAUGCCUAGUAGGCGCAAGUCAUCAGCUUGCGUCGAUUACGUCCCUGCCCUUUGUACACACCGCCCGUCGCACCUACCGAUUGAAUGGUCCGGUGAAGCCUCGGGAUUGUAGCAAUCUACCUUUAUUGGUGGUUUGUUGCAAGAACUUGUCUAAACCUUAUCAUUUAGAGGAAGGUGAAGUCGUAACA
This 324-nucleotide ribosomal RNA is filed under the name uncultured eukaryote. RNAcentral describes it as "partial 18S ribosomal RNA". It matches the Rfam family "Eukaryotic small subunit ribosomal RNA", at positions 1470 to 1796 of the family's 1831-position model. The record is from RNAcentral.